Molecule: ribosomal RNA, 371 nt
Filed under: uncultured bacterium
Lineage: Bacteria
Description: bacterial SSU rRNA
Rfam family: Bacterial small subunit ribosomal RNA
Source: RNAcentral
AACGAACGCUGGCGGCAGGCUUAACACAUGCAAGUCGAACGAACUCUUCGGAGUUAGUGGCAGACGGGUGAGUAACGCGUGGGAACCUACCUUUAGGUACGGAACAACAGUUGGAAACGACUGCUAAUACCGUAUGUGCCCUAUGGGGGAAAGAUUUAUCGCCUAAGGAUGGGCCCGCGUUGGAUUAGCUAGUUGGUGGGGUAAAGGCCUACCAAGGCGACGAUCCAUAGCUGGUCUGAGAGGAUGAUCAGCCACACUGGGACUGAGACACGGCCCAGACUCCUACGGGAGGCAGCAGUGGGAAUAUUGGACAAUGGGCGCAAGCCUGAUCCAGCCAUGCCGCGUGAGUGAUGAAGGCCCUAGGGUUGUAA